GCUUUGGUGGUUCAAUGAUAGAAUUCUCACUUUCGAUGCAGGAGACCUGGGUUCAAUUCCUGGCCACUGCA
Molecule: transfer RNA, 71 nt
Filed under: Loxodonta africana (African savanna elephant)
Lineage: Eukaryota; Metazoa; Chordata; Mammalia; Proboscidea; Elephantidae
Rfam family: tRNA
About the family: Transfer RNA (tRNA) molecules are approximately 80 nucleotides in length.
Source: Rfam by way of RNAcentral